GAUGAUGGCCCCCAUUUCCCAAAUGCCUACUAUAUUUCAGGAUUUCUCAGCAAGGACUGGUAGAACUUGACUUGACUGCCAGCUUUUAUCUGGACCGGACUUCACAAAGCAGGGUGAAAGAAUUUGCAUGAUCUCCAUGGUGGCUAAUCAUAUAAUUUCCAGUUUCAGCAGCUGGCACCAGCUAUUUGCUCCCCCGCUACCCAAGCAAUUCUAGUAACUGUGAGAUAUCCUAUGAAUCACAGAACAAAUGCCCAACUCCUUUCUACAGUCACGGGGUCAGAGUACACAGCCAACCCACUAGCAGAGCUGGAGUUAUGGUUUGAGCCAAAGUACAACAAGGAAGGAGGAAGCCCCAACCUACCCCGGACAUGCCCUGAAUGACACAGCCAUUUAGGGCCUGCCAAAGAUGCCAUUCUGUUUGCAAACACAUAUUACCUGCCAUAUCACUCAACAAAAUAAUUCCAUCAGAAGGCCUGAAGGCAAAUGACUAAUGUUAAAAGUGGCCCAUGCAUCAUUUCAGUGACAACUCCACAGGCGCCAAUUAAACAUGGAAAAGACCUGUUCUGAAGCAUGCCCAUCUGGCAUUUCCCAAGGAACUGUAGUCAAUGGCUGAUAAAACAUACAUGAUCAUAACUAUAAAGAAAUUUCGCAGCCCUCUCCUUGCUCAAAAGCAACCGGGGCCUAUGAGGACAAUGAACCUGGAAGACACCCAAAAGAGGAGAAAACAUACAAUAACCACCUUCUGAGUGGAAGGAAGAGGACACAUUUAACAAAUGAUGUCAAGGCAUAAAACCUCCGGCAGAGAGACAGUGGCUG
This 816-nucleotide long non-coding RNA is filed under the name Homo sapiens (human). Its description in RNAcentral is "long non-coding RNA NONHSAT196100.1". Lineage: Eukaryota; Metazoa; Chordata; Mammalia; Primates; Hominidae. The record is from RNAcentral.